UUCAUGACUCCUGCUCCGGCGCCAUGGCGGCGCGGGAUUCGAUUAGAGUUUGAUCAUGGUGGACCCCUGGCGGCGGGCCUAACACAUGCAGUCGAGAGAAAGCCCCUGCUUGCAGGGGCGAGUAAAGUGGCGUACGGGUGAGUAACGCGUGGUUAAUCUACCCUUGGGUUUGGGAUAACGUCCCGAAAGGGGCGCUAAUACCGGAUAAGACCACGGUGUCCACGGGCACUGGGGUAAAAGUGGGCCUCUACAUGUAAGCUCAUGCCUGAGGAUGAGACCGCGUCCCAUUAGCUUGUUGGUGAGGUAACGGCUCACCAAGGCCGCGAUGGGUAGCUGAUCUGAGAGGAUGAUCAGCCACACUGGGACUGGAACACGGCCCAUACUCCUACGGGAGGCAGCAGUGAGGAAUCUUGCGCAAUGGGGGAAACCCUGACGCAGCCACGCCGCGUGGGUGAAGAAGGCCUUCGGGUUGUAAAGCCCUGUCAGGUGGGAAGAACCGCAGUCUGGCCAAUACCUGGACUGCUUGACGGUACCACCAAAGGAAGCACCGGCUAACUCCGUGCCAGCAGCCGCGGUAAUACGGAGGGUGCAAGCGUUGUUCGGAAUUACUGGGCGUAAGCGCGUGUAGGCGGACCGGUAAGUUGGGAGUGAAAGCCCUGGGCUCAACCCAGGAAGUGCUUCCAAUACUGCCGGUCUUGAGUUCCGGAGAGGGUGGUGGAAUUCCCGGUGUAGAGGUGAAAUUCGUAGAUAUCGGGAGGAACACCAGUGGCGAAGGCGACUACCUUGACGAA
RNAcentral lists this ribosomal RNA (791 nucleotides) under uncultured bacterium. Its description in RNAcentral is "bacterial SSU rRNA". It matches the Rfam family "Bacterial small subunit ribosomal RNA", at positions 1 to 737 of the family's 1533-position model. The record is from RNAcentral.